This 253-nucleotide ribosomal RNA is filed under the name uncultured bacterium. RNAcentral's name for it is "partial 16S ribosomal RNA". It matches the Rfam family "Bacterial small subunit ribosomal RNA", at positions 524 to 776 of the family's 1533-position model. The record is from RNAcentral.
UACGUAGGGUGCAAGCGUUAAUCGGAAUUACUGGGCGUAAAGCGUGCGCAGGCGGUGAUGUAAGACAGAUGUGAAAUCCCCGGGCUUAACCUGGGAACUGCAUUUGUGACUGCAUCGCUGGAGUGCGGCAGAGGGGGAUGGAAUUCCGCGUGUAGCAGUGAAAUGCGUAGAUAUGCGGAGGAACACCGAUGGCGAAGGCAAUCCCCUGGGCCUGCACUGACGCUCAUGCGCGAAAGCGUGGGGAGCAAACAGG